UGACUAGCUUUGUCAGUUAUGUAACCCACUUGUUCAUGCUGUUGUCAGGAUCAAAAGAUCUUACACAGCUUCUUGGCCUUCAGAAACCCUAAAGAUCUGGGCUACAUUGCAUUAACAUGAUGCAUACUAUAGAAGGAUUAGGACAUCCUCAAUAAACUCUUCUUGUGGCCAUAUAUUUGCUUUUCUCAGGUGAGCUCAAAUCUGCAAUACACAGUGAUUAAAAACAAGCUGACUCUUACAAGUCUUUCAACUUAAAGUUACAUAUUUAAUAAACAAUUCACUCAAAUCAUACCUUGUUUUACAGUAGAGAUGUGAAAGGGGAUCAGAUGUAUGAAGUGUCAGGUCAAGGCUAGUUUAAGACACACUUCAGACACCUAAAAAACACCAGUAGCACUUUGUACUCUUGUUGAGAUCUCACCAAGCUACACCAUCUCAAAGUAUUCUGCAAACAAGCGGUUGUGCCUCUGCUGUAAGAGAUAUCAGUAUUACUCCCAUUACAGAUAGGAAAAGUUAAAACAAAAGGGACAUGGAUUUGUCUCGUCGGUGGCAGAGCUGGGAUCAGAUUCACUUGUCCUGAUUUUUUGCUCUAAGCACCAGCAUUGUUUCUCAGGUGUUAUGUCAGCCAAGCCUUCACUGAUGAACAAUGGGGCAGGAAGCAGAGUAAAGCCAAAUAAGGCCAGUGUUCAUCUUGAAUUAGAUCAAUAAUAAUGGAACCUGAGUAGCUGCUUGGAAAUUACUACAGGUUGACAACUUGAUAAUAUGAGGAAGAGAAAGACCUGUAGAUUUUGGUGAGGAAAGAGGUCCUUGGGGAAAAACUCUUACAAAUUAAAACCAGACUAACAGGUGAAUUUUGGUAUCUGUUCAUCUGUUCUUUGUGGUGUAGCUGAGUUUGACAAAUGUCAUUACUUUCCUUGGUUUGCAGCUAUUUUAUUUUGUACCUGGAAAUCCCCGCUACUCACAGUGAACUGUUGCCCACUGGAUGCUCUGAACACACCGUUCAUGGCCCCUGUGACCUUCUGAGCACUGAAGAUGCAUUGAACCUUGGCCAGAAUAUGGCAAAGGCAAGGGACUUGCCUCAAGGUUCCAGGGUAUGGAAUAGAGGGGGAAGAAACCCAGGGAGAGCCCUUCUCAGGCAGAUGAAGCACUUUGAGUGCUGUUCUGGUGAGGAAUGCUUUUUUAUCUUCUGUCAUGUGCAUGAGCCACUUCCCUUGGAGCAUUCCUCUCUGCCGUUGUUCUCAUCUCUACUCUCCCCACUCCUAGGCAGAUGCUGAUGCUGUCUGGACAUGCCUUGUGGAAAUGAGCUUCUCUAUGGGAUGGAGGACUGCACGCUGCCUUUGGAGAAAAGGAGGGCCAGGAUUACUGCUCCCAGCAGUACUGAAAUAGCUAUUUACCCACAGCAGGAAAAUGUUAUUUUUGGGGCAAAAGGGAGCUGUAAUGUUUUCCUGUUACAGUAGUUGGCAGCAUUUCUCUAUAGCCCAAACAGUUCUUACUUUACUCUUUGCUGUAAGUUUACUAGAAGGAGAGACAUAUAUGACCAAUUCUGUAAUUCAAACAAUAUACUGACAGUAAGACAGGUUUAAACCCUGGGAGACUAUGGGGAUGGAGUGAAGGAAUAGCAGAGUGGGACCCUGUACCAAGAGCCUAAGCUGAGAGGAUACUGGUGGCUAUGUGCAGAGAAAUGUUGCAUGCACAGUGAUUUUCAAAGCAUAGACUAUUUGGAAUAAAGUAAGGACAUCUCUUGCA
Molecule: long non-coding RNA, 1743 nt
Filed under: Junco hyemalis (dark-eyed junco)
Lineage: Eukaryota; Metazoa; Chordata; Aves; Passeriformes; Passerellidae
Description: lncRNA (ENSJHYG00000011676.1)
Source: RNAcentral